This 220-nucleotide ribosomal RNA is filed under the name uncultured bacterium. RNAcentral describes it as "partial 16S ribosomal RNA". It matches the Rfam family "Bacterial small subunit ribosomal RNA", at positions 794 to 1012 of the family's 1533-position model. The record is from RNAcentral.
UCCACGCCCUAAACGAUGUCAACUAGGUGUUGGGUGGGUAAAACCAUUUAGUACCGUAGCUAACGCGUGAAGUUGACCGCCUGGGGAGUACGGCCGCAAGGUUAAAACUCAAAGGAAUUGACGGGGACCCGCACAAGCGGUGGAUGAUGUGGAUUAAUUCGAUGCAACGCGAAAAACCUUACCUACCCUUGACAUGUUCAGAAUCCCGGAGAGAUUUGGG